Molecule: ribosomal RNA, 484 nt
Filed under: uncultured bacterium
Lineage: Bacteria
Description: partial 16S ribosomal RNA
Rfam family: Bacterial small subunit ribosomal RNA
Source: RNAcentral
AUUGAACGCUGGCGGCAGGCCUAACACAUGCAAGUCGAGCGGAUGAAGGGAGCUUGCUCCUGGAUUCAGCUGCGGACGGGUGAGUAAUGCCUAGGAAUCUGCCUGGUAGUGGGGGAUAACGUCCGGAAACGGGCGCUAAUACCGCAUACGUCCUGAGGGAGAAAGUGGGGGAUCUUCGGACCUCACGCUAUCAGAUGAGCCUAGGUCGGAUUAGCUAGUUGGUGGGGUAAAGGCCUACCAAGGCGACGAUCCGUAACUGAUCUGAGAGGAUGAUCAGUCACACUGGAACUGAGACACGGUCCAGACUCCUACGGGAGGCAGCAGUGGGGAAUAUUGGACAAUGGGCGAAAGCCUGAUCCAGCCAUGCCGCGUGUGUGAAGAAGGUCUUCGGAUUGUAAAGCACUUUAAGUUGGGAGGAAGGGCAGUAAGUUAAUACCUUGCUGUUUUGACGUUACCAACAGAAUAAGCAACGGCUAACUUCGUG